Molecule: ribosomal RNA, 396 nt
Filed under: uncultured bacterium
Lineage: Bacteria
Description: bacterial SSU rRNA
Rfam family: Bacterial small subunit ribosomal RNA
Source: RNAcentral
GAUGAACGCUGGCGGCGUGCUUAACACAUGCAAGUCGAACGAAGACAUCUGAGUGCUUGCACUUGGAUGGACUGAGUGGCGGACGGGUGAGUAACGCGUGGGUAACCUGCCUUAUACAGGGGGAUAACAGUUGGAAACGACUGCUAAUACCGCAUAAGCGCACGGUAUCGCAUGAUACAGUGUGAAAAACUCCGGUGGUAUAAGAUGGACCCGCGUCUGAUUAGCUUGUUGGUGAGGUAACGGCCCACCAAGGCGACGAUCAGUAGCCGGCCUGAGAGGGUGAACGGCCACAUUGGGACUGAGACACGGCCCAAAACUCCUACGGGGAGCAGCAGUGGGGAAUAUUGCACAAUGGGGGAAACCCUGAUGCAGCGACGCCGCGUGAGUGAUGAAGUA